Molecule: ribosomal RNA, 742 nt
Filed under: uncultured euryarchaeote
Lineage: Archaea; Methanobacteriati; Methanobacteriota
Description: SSU rRNA
Rfam family: Archaeal small subunit ribosomal RNA
Source: RNAcentral
CUUAAGAUGAUGAUACCCUCGGGAAACUGAGGCUAAAAAUCAAUAGACAAAGGAGGCUGGAAUGCGCCUUUGUUGAAACGUAAGGCCUUAGGAUGGGACUGCGGCCGAUUAGGUAGUUGGUGGGGUAAUGGCCCAACAAGCCAAUUAUCGGUAAGGGCUCUUAACGGAGAGGCCCUGAGAGGGACUCUGAGACACUACUCCCAGCCCUACGGGGUGCAGCAGGCGGGAAAAUUCUCCAAUGCGCGAAAGAAUGAGAGAGGAAUCCAAAGUGCUUCUCAAUUUGAAUGGCUUUUGCCAACUUUAAAAAGGUGGGCGAAUAAGGACUGGGCAAGACUGGUGCCAGCCGCCGCGGUAAUCCCAGCAGUCCGAGUCGUGGCCACAUUUAUUAGGUCUAAAACAUUCCGUAGCUGGUUUUGUAAGUUUUUUGUGAAAUUGUGUCACUUAAGUGCACAGCGUGCAAGGGAGACUGCAAGACUAGAGACCGGGAGACGUAAGGAGUACAUUCAAGGUAGCGGUAAAAUGUUUUAAUCUUGGAUGGACUAACAAUGGCGAAGGCACCUUACGAGAACGGAUCUGACAGUGAGGGAUGAAAGCCCGGGGCGCCAAAUGGAUUAGAUACCCAAGUAGUCCUAGCAGUACACACUGCGCACUAAACAUUGUGACCUCCUCGAGAGGUUGCAGUGCUGCAGCGAAGGCGAAGAGUGCGCUACCUGGGAAGUAUAGCCGCAAGGCCGAAACUUAA